UGGCAUCGAUGAAGAACGCAGCGAAAUGCGAUAAGUAAUGCGAAUUGCAGAAUUCAGUGAGUCAUCGAAUCUUUGAACGCACAUUGCGCCCUGUGGUAUUCCGCAGGGCAUGCCUGUUCGAGCGUCAUU
Molecule: ribosomal RNA, 129 nt
Filed under: Oidiodendron ramosum
Lineage: Eukaryota; Fungi; Ascomycota; Leotiomycetes; Myxotrichaceae
Description: partial 5.8S ribosomal RNA
Rfam family: 5.8S ribosomal RNA
About the family: 5.8S ribosomal RNA (5.8S rRNA) is a component of the large subunit of the eukaryotic ribosome.
Source: RNAcentral